This 4288-nucleotide small RNA is filed under the name Pongo abelii (Sumatran orangutan). Its description in RNAcentral is "retained intron". The stretch from base 3031 to 3157 matches the Rfam family "Small Cajal body specific RNA 15". Lineage: Eukaryota; Metazoa; Chordata; Mammalia; Primates; Hominidae. The record is from RNAcentral.
GAGUUUGAGACCAGCCUGGGCAACAGGGCAAAACCCCAUCUCUACAAAACUGCACCCAGCCAUUUUAUAUUCUUUUUAUCUCAUUGCUUUUUUUUUUAGUGGUUUCAGACAGUGGUUCAGACCAGCUGCUAGAGAAUCAAGGGCUAAGAAGAGAAGACUACCAAUUUAGUAGAUUUGGACAUGGACAAGCCACAGGCAGUUUCUCUUCUCACUCUCUUGGCCAGUCAUCUCUUGCUCACCUUCCCCUGCCAGUAGCCAGUAGCAUGUGACAGCCUCUAUAUUCCAUCUCCCUUUUCUCCCUCUUCCAGAACUAAGAUGAGUUUUCAAUGGAUAACUGUUUAGAAACAUACCCACUGCUGAGUUUAUAAUAAAUAGGUAAAUGGUGUUUAAAAUGCCUUAUGUAGGAAUCCUUGGUAGAUAGUUAUAUGUGGUUAUUUUUUGGGAAGUUGGCUUGAGGUUCUUUGAAGGGCUGGGAACAUGUGUUUCUUUUGUGUGUUCCUGUGUGUGUCAAAGUUUUAUAUGUUCAUUGGUGCUCUACACGUUCAGAGAAACGUUUCCAAUAAUGAACCAUAGAAUGAUCCCUGGAGCAUAGGAUCCCACUGUUUGAAAAUUCUAGCCAUCGAUCACUUUAUAAGAAAAGGAUGAAAUUUCAAACAAGGGGUUUGUUUAUCUGAUUUCCACCCUACAGAUAAUAUAUAAAUUUGGCCAAAGUUGUUUGGGGGAGAGGGGCUGUUGUUAGGUACUGAGCUAUAAUACUUUGUUGCUUUGUAUCACUUUUAAAAGUGACUUUUAAAGAUACUUGACAUUUGAAAAGGAAUCACCUUUGAUCUUUCUAAGUCCCUAAUUUGACAUUACCUUUAUAGCAUAUAAUUUAUUCCGUAAAGUCUUAGAUCCUGAAACUAGCAGAAAGCCAAAUACUCAUGUUGUGCUAUAAAUAUAGGAUUGACAGUUAAGCUUACUCAGUAGUCAAGGGGGCAGCUUUCACUCACCAGCCUCCAGGGCAUAUGAACCAAAUUUAUGAUUCAGAACAUUUAAAAUAUACAUUUUGAAGGUCUUUGGGCUCUCUUACGUAUAGUCUAACUAUAAUAAAUAUUAAAUGUGUCAAAAGUCUCUUGCAGUGAUGGGAAGAGCAUUCUAAACCACAUACAUCUUUCCCAUCCCGAUUGUUCUGUGCCCCUCCCACUCUUCCCAGAUGAGAAGUCACCAUGGAGCACUGUUACUAAUGGGACUGUGUAUCAGAUCUUUAAAGUAUAUUGGGACAGAAGAAAGGUUGAUAUUUUGGGGUUGUUUUUUUUUUUUUUGAGACGGAGUUUUCACUCUUCUUGCUAAGGCUGGAGUGCUAUGGCGCGAUCUUGGCUCACUACAAUCUCCGCCUCCCUGGUUCAAGCGAUUCUCCUGCGUCAGCCUCCUGAGUAGCUGGGAUUACACGCGCCCGCCACCAUGCCCGGCUAAUUUUUGUAUUUUUAGUAGAGACGGGGGUUUCAUCAUGUUGGCUAGGCUGGUCUCGAACUCCUGACCUCAGGUGAUCUGCCCGUCUUGGCCUCCCAAAGUGUUGGGAUUACAGGCGUGAGCCACCAUGCCCGGCAGGUUCAUAUUUUUAAUGUUUCCUUCUACUCCCGAAGCACACACAAAUUUGAAAGCUGCUUUGCUUUCUAAUAAAGAGGCUUUUCCUUUGAUUUGGAAGAUAAUUUGAUGUGUCUUUUCUCUUUGCAGGUAUAUGAGCUCCCUGAAAGCACAAAGCAGUUAUUUCAAUCUUCAGAUCAUUCAGAGAUUAUGAAGGCACAAACCCUGCCUUCAAUUUGCUUAUAGUCAAGUGGAGCAGACACAAGUCAAUGAUGGCAGUAUAGCCACUUAAGUAAUCUAAAAGAGGUGAGUCUGGCACUUAACCUUUCCUGGGAGGGGGAGGAAUAAGGCAGUGUUUCCAAGAGGUGAUUUUGGAGCUAUACAGGCAUUAGGUAGACAAGGAAGGGGAGGUCCAUUCUGGGUGCCUAGGACUCUGUGGCUGAUUUAUAAAUUCUAAAUGGUACAAAAAACAGUGUUGAGUAUCUUUUACCUUUCUCCAGAGUACUGUUCUUGCUUUUGGAUAGUGCUUCUUGUUUUUUCCUUCCCUCUCCCUGUCCCUGUCACCUUUAAAUUAAAUGAAUGUUUGGAAGGAAGUAGGAGGGUAAGAAUCUUUCUGGGUGGCAGAAUAAUAGAUGGGUCUACCAAGAGCAAUGUAUAUACCCAGUAAAGCCAUCUCUAAAACUGUGUUUCUGGAUUGUUACAGUGCAUAGUUGGGAAAUCUCAGUUUUGUUGGCUGUGUACUUUCCCAGUGAAUGGAUUACAUUCCUUUCUGUGAUCCAGUCUGUUUGAAUUUAAGGGCAUCUCUUAAAUUCCUUUCAAGCAAGAGACCUAACAUUUAGACUUAGGAAUGAGAGUAGGAGAGACAGCAAGAUUAGAAUCCAAGUUCAUACUACCAAAACAUUUUUAUUGGCUGUGUUUGAGUGACUACAUGUUGUUUGAAUCAGCUGCAGGCUAAUUUGUAACAUUUCAAAUAAAUGAUAGUUUAAUUCCUCCAGUAUUUGAGUAAAGUGAAAAUAGAGCUAAAAACCAUGAUUCUGUCACAGUCUGGGAAAAUGAAAAAGCAAUCAAUUAGUGAGUUGGGCUUAAUUUUUUUUUUUUUCUGGAACUGGUAAUAGCAGAAAACAAGCAGUAAAGUAGUCAGACAUGAUAUACUUGACAAGAACCACCACCUGUUCAGUAGCAACUCUAAAAUAAGUACUAACUUAGGGGCAGUUGUUGUGCCCAGGUCAUAGUCAUACUCCUUCCAGGGGACUUCCUGAUGACAGAAAAGAUGCUGACCAGCUGGGGUCUUCUUUCCAAAUAACAAACUUCUCUCUUGCAUUUAGAUUAAUUAACCAUUGGUUACAGUGAAACAAGCAUAUAUGUACAGAGUUAAUCUCUUAUAGCUUGAAGUUAUAAAUGAUCUUUAUUUGAGUAUCUUGACAUUUUAAAGGACAGUGUUUUAAAGCUGGAUUUGGUUAUGUUCUUCUGGAGACUAAGAAAAUAGAGUCCUUGAAAUCAAGCUGACUCUGCUUUUAGCCUCCUAAAUGAAAAGGUAGAUAGAACAGGUCUUGUUUGCAAAAUAAAUUCAAGACCUACUUAUCUACCAACAGCAAUUAUACACUUUCCAUUGUCUUUCUAUAGAAAAUAGGAGUAGUACACUUAUAGAUGAGAAAACUGGAGAAAGACAUAAUGAACAUGUGAGAAUCUUGCUCUACUAAUUGAUAGGAAGGUGACUAGAAAUUGGAGAAGUUGUCUUGGUAAGUUGAGGAGAGGACUUUUCUUAUAGUGCAGUCUGGUAGCUGAACCUCCUUGCAUCAAGACCAAUAUAGUCUUAUUUAUAGAAUGCCACAUCACAGUGAAUUGUGCUGUGGACAGCUUCCAGUGUGUGACUUGUGGAAGAUGAUGAUUUUAACAGAUUUUGGAGGAUGAGAAGUAUUAAGAAAAAGGCCCCACUGCCCAUGCAUUUGCUCUGCUUUUUACUUUUGACCACUUAUACACUUCAGAAAUAUCUUAUUGGAGGUAUACAAGUGAUUGUGUGUCAUUUGAACCAGCAGGAAGUAAUUUAUUAAACACACUUUUCUAAAUAAAAGUCAUUUAAUUUUAUCAGAAAUCAGUGUCAUUUUAGAUUGCAAGUCUCAAACCAACUUUCCACUUCUGACUUGUAAGGGUGCCUUAAAUUCUGAAUACUCUGAAUUACUAAACCCAUGUUAGUUUACACCAAGAUUCUGUGGUGGUUUUACAUAUUCUUUUUCCCCUUUGUUAAGGUGGGGAGGCCACAGCUCAUGUGAAUGACUUUCUCAGGAGUUAUAAAGUGAUACAGGUAAAGCUAAGAAAAGAACAGAUUUAGAUAUCUUUUGUUUUAACUGUCCAAUGUUAGGGAUUGUGGCUACAGUGGUCUAAUUUUUAAAAACUCUUUUUUUGCUUUGUUUUUUAACAGACUUAUCAGCAGGUUGCAGGUGAACAUGGCCUUGAGGUAAAUCUGUCCCUUGCUGAAUACAGUUUCAGUAGAUUGUUUAUAGUAGUUUCAGGAAUUGAGAUUUUUUACAAAAAUACAAAAGUUUUGCUUGGUUCUGUUCUAGAUGUUUUUCUUCUAAAUAAAUGAGAAAGAUGUUUCAACAAAGGCUCUUUAUGCUGAAUAAUUGUGAUGCUUGAAGUUGCUAAUCUGCUUUAAGUGGAUUUUAAAUGUCAGACAAUUCUAGACAGUUUUUUCUUGGUCAAAUAAAAAUUUAAUUAAAACUUUAUA